UACGAAGGGGGCUAGCGUUGUUCGGAUUUACUGGGCGUAAAGCGCACGUAGGCGGUUUGUUAAGUCAGAGGUGAAAUCCUGGAGCUCAACUCCAGAACUGCCUUUGAUACUGGAGCUUGAGUCCGGGAGAGGUGAGUGGAACUGCGAGUGUAGAGGUGAAAUUCGUAGAUAUUCGCAAGAACACCAGUGGCGAAGGCGGCUCACUGGCCCGGUACUGACGCUGAGGUGCGAAAGCGUGGGGAGCAAACAGG
This 251-nucleotide ribosomal RNA is filed under the name uncultured bacterium. RNAcentral describes it as "partial 16S ribosomal RNA". It matches the Rfam family "Bacterial small subunit ribosomal RNA", at positions 524 to 776 of the family's 1533-position model. The record is from RNAcentral.